AUUGAACGCUGGCGGCAUGCCUUACACAUGCAAGUCGAACGGCAGCACGGGAGCAAUCCUGGUGGCGAGUGGCGAACGGGUGAGUAAUGUAUCGGAACGUACCUUUCAGUGGGGGAUAGCGUAGCGAAAGUUACGCUAAUACCGCAUAUUCUGUGAGCAGGAAAGCAGGGGAUCGCAAGACCUUGCGCUGAUUGAGCGGCCGAUAUCAGAUUAGCUAGUUGGUGAGGUAAAGGCUCACCAAGGCGACGAUCUGUAGCGGGUCUGAGAGGAUGAUCCGCCACACUGGAACUGAGACACGGUCCAGACUCCUACGGGAGGCAGCAGUGGGGAAUUUUGGACAAUGGGCGCAAGCCUGAUCCAGCCAUGCCGCGUGAGUGAAGAAGGCC
This 386-nucleotide ribosomal RNA is filed under the name uncultured bacterium. RNAcentral describes it as "bacterial SSU rRNA". It matches the Rfam family "Bacterial small subunit ribosomal RNA", at positions 30 to 416 of the family's 1533-position model. The record is from RNAcentral.